GUAGGUGAACCUGCGGAAGGAUCAUUACAUAUUGAGCGCGGCUGGGAUCCCCAAGGGCUGCUGCUUGCCUCUGGUAAGCGCGGCGCUUGCCCAGUCUGCGUGAAUAUUCACCCAUGUCUUUUGCGUACUUCUUGUUUCCUUGGCGGGUUCGCCCGUCAUUAGGACAAACUUAAACCUUUUGUAAUUGCAGUCAGCGUCAGUAAAAUUUAAUUAUUACAACUUUCAACAACGGAUCUCUUGGUUCUG
This 246-nucleotide unclassified non-coding RNA is filed under the name rhizosphere metagenome. Its description in RNAcentral is "partial ribosomal RNA internal transcribed spacer region". The record is from RNAcentral.